AAUUGAAGAGUUUGAUCAUGGCUCAGAUUGAACGCUGGCGGCAGGCCUAACACAUGCAAGUCGAACGGUAACAGGAAGAAGCUUGCUUCUUUGCUGACGAGUGGCGGACGGGUGAGUAAUGUCUGGGAAACUGCCUGAUGGAGGGGGAUAACUACUGGAAACGGUAGCUAAUACCGCAUAACGUCGCAAGACCAAAGAGGGGGACCUUCGGGCCUCUUGCCAUCGGAUGUGCCCAGAUGGGAUUAGCUUGUUGGUGGGGUAACGGCUCACCAAGGCGACGAUCCCUAGCUGGUCUGAGAGGAUGACCAGCCACACUGGAACUGAGACACGGUCCAGACUCCUACGGGAGGCAGCAGUGGGGAAUAUUGCACAAUGGGCGCAAGCCUGAUGCAGCCAUGCCGCGUGUAUGAAGAAGGCCUUCGGGU
RNAcentral lists this ribosomal RNA (425 nucleotides) under Escherichia coli. RNAcentral describes it as "bacterial SSU rRNA". It matches the Rfam family "Bacterial small subunit ribosomal RNA", at positions 1 to 423 of the family's 1533-position model. The record is from RNAcentral. Lineage: Bacteria; Pseudomonadati; Pseudomonadota; Gammaproteobacteria; Enterobacterales; Enterobacteriaceae.